Molecule: ribosomal RNA, 200 nt
Filed under: uncultured bacterium
Lineage: Bacteria
Description: partial 16S ribosomal RNA
Rfam family: Bacterial small subunit ribosomal RNA
Source: RNAcentral
AGAGUUUGAUCCUGGCUCAGGACGAACGCUGGCGGCGUGCUUAACACAUGCAAGUCGAGCGGAAAGGCCCUUCGGGGUACUCGAGCGGCGAACGGGUGAGUAACACGUGAGCAACCUGCCCCUGGCUCUGGGAUAGCUCCGGGAAACCGGGAUUAAUACCGGAUAUGACCCUCUCGUGCAUGCGUGGGGGUGGAAAGUUU